GGAGGGCAGGGGUCCUGGGAACACUUAGUCCCUUAUCACUGAUCAAAGCCAGGAGGUGCCGCCGACAGGCGAGGUGUGGCCCCACCUGGCUCUCAUUAGGCGCCCGCAGCCUUGUUCCUGCCGGCUCUGCUCUGGCUCACAGGCGCCCCAAGACCAGCUGCCCUGUGGCGGCCCGGCCAUCACACCUGGCAGAGGGACUCACAGGCCACACACCAGGCACCAGCGAGUGGACUCCGCAGCCCUGCACAUGGCCACAUGCCCAGUCCCGGCUGCCUCUCCCUGCAAACCCGGCAUUGGUGGAAGCUGAAGGCAAAGAGAUUGAUCCUGCAGCAACCCAAGGGCCCGGUAUCCCCAGGGCACUGUUCCCAGGGUGCGGCAGGAACCUGCGAGGAGGGGGAGGGGUGUCUUCUGUCCACAGCGCAUUCUUCCGGACAUUCUCCAGGAGGCCUUGCUGCACCAGAUAGGAUUUUGGCUGCAAGCAACAGAAAGCGGUUCCGAUUAACUUAGGCAAAAAGGAGUUUCCUGCAAGCUGCUGGGGCACCGUACCCGCCUAAAGGAAAGCCGUGCUGCCAGGCCUUGGGAAGGAGACUCAGCGCAGCACUAGCAGCCCCCCUCCCCGGCCCACUGGAGGGCCAAGUCUCUGGGGGGAGAACAUGACAGGCGUGGAGGGCUAGAGAUGCCCCCCUGAGUCCUCUCCUGCCUCUUCCUGUGAAGAAGGCCUCCCGCUGGCUGCACGUUUCCUCACUGUUUGCCGGGACUGGCUGUGCAAUUCCCCGCUGCGCCCGUCCCCAGCGCUCCACACAGGAGCUCCGCGAAUGCUGGCUUGUUAACCGGAUAGCUUGACACUCUAAUCAGUACGAAUUCACCUUCUCAGCUGAGAGGUUAGGAAAGUGUGGAAGGGGAGGGCUGUGGGACGCCACUCCCCACACACUGUUGUGUGGCCUGGGAAAGCUGCUUCACCCCCUUGUGCGUCGGUUUCCUCAUCUGUGAAACAGGGUAAUAAUAAAGUGUCUCUUAGAGUGGCUGCAAGGAUGCCAUUGAUGAAUCCUUUUAAAUGGCUGAGGUGGAGCGUCAGCCACCACGCACCCAGCAGCAGACGUUCCCUUGUGUCCGGCAGGGUCCGGCCUGCAUUUUUACUGAAUUCUUAUUCCUGUUUGCCAAAAGGGAUGGGAGGAGCUGAGUCGAGUGAGGACCUUGUGCCAGACCUGGGGCUCCGUGCCCACAGCCCAGGAGAUGGGAAUCACAGGAAUAUGACCUCUGGUCUUGGCUCU
RNAcentral lists this long non-coding RNA (1271 nucleotides) under Homo sapiens (human). RNAcentral describes it as "HSALNT0068863". Lineage: Eukaryota; Metazoa; Chordata; Mammalia; Primates; Hominidae. The record is from RNAcentral.